Molecule: long non-coding RNA, 1001 nt
Organism: Cervus elaphus (red deer)
Lineage: Eukaryota; Metazoa; Chordata; Mammalia; Artiodactyla; Cervidae
Exons: 3
Source: RefSeq, a predicted model, not a curated record
UUAAGUCAAUUUGUCACCGAUAAUUGUGUCAAAGUUUGCCAGGAGUACAAAACAAUAGUGAUAUUUGUUUGGGCGGUGCGCGGAAAAAAAUGAGGAAGAAAUACCACAGAAGGCAACUGAACAGAUGAGAGACAUACUCACAUCCCGCGGGGGCCCCUCACACCAACAAAAGCUUGCCAGGAGUCGCUCAUUAGUGGGCACUGGGGCUGGAGAGAAACUCUGCAGGUGACAUUGCUUCUGAGAGAUUGAGUGUUUUGGCAGCCGUCUGGGAACUAGUGACUUUGGCAUUCAGAUGGAGAUGGAGUGGAGGUGAAGAAGAGGCGAAGGAAGAAGGGAGCAGCUGCUAAAUUUGAAGGAUGGGGAGGGGGUGACCUCCUUCCUUCCUGCCCUCCAUCCAUUCUGGUUACUGAGUUCAGACUUUGCCAGUCAACAAAGGAGUCCCACACUGGCUUCAUCAAGCUGCUGCGCCCCCACGGAAUCCAAAUGGCUCUGUUACUUCAGCUAGAUAGUACACUCCAAUACAGGGAGCCUGCAGAGGACCAAAUAUGUUCCAUCUUUGCAACCCAAGGACAUCAAAGGAAGAUGACAGCUAAUCCAGGUCCUUGCCAUUUCUGUUGAAGAAGGAAUUCAUAGGGCCUGGAAUCCAUCUUAGGCAUGUUCAUGCUGAUCAUGCUCAGCCACCUCUCCAAUGGACUCUGAACUCUGUGUUUAGUGUCUAUGGAAAUGACAACAGAAGGAUAAGACCCCCUCUGGACAGGGGGAUCUUGAAGAUCUUAUCCAGGUUACUCAUCGCCUAAGAGAACACAUACACUAAUCACCCCUUCUUCCAGACAUGAAUUAGCCAUAAAGUUUUCUGUACCUGUCAGAGUGUAACCUCAUGCUUAUUGAUUAUUGGCUAAUUGUUUAACUGUCUGAGCACAUGGCACAUGAGUGAUGGGGUUACUGGGAUUGUAUUUACCCUUCCUUAGUUUAUGUAAGUCUCAAGGAAUUUGGGGUGGUGG